AAAGAAAAAAGUCCACAAAAUUUACUAAAUAUCUAUAAUGAAAGAAGUCCACAAAAUUUACUAAAUAUCUAUAAAGAAAAAAGACCACUAAAUUUACUAAAUAUCUCUUAAAAAAAAAGUCCACAAAAUUUACUUAAUAUCUCUAAAAGAAAAAAGUCCACAAAAUUUACUAAAUAUCUUUGAAAGAAGUCGCAAAAUUUACUAAAAAAAGAAAGUCCACAAAUUUACUAAAUAUCUAUACAGAAAAAAGUCCACAAAAUUUACUAAAUAUCUUUAAAAGAAAAAAGUCCACAAAAUUUACUAAAUAUCUAUAAUGAAAGAAGUCCACAAAAUUUACUAAAAAAAGUCCACAAAAUUAACUAAAUAUCUAUAAAGAAAAAAGUCCACAAAAUUUACUAAAUAUCUAUAAUGAAAGAAGUCCACAAAAUUUACUAAAAAAAGAAAGUCCACAAAAUUUACUAAAUAUCUAUAAAGAAAAAAGUCCACAAAAUUGACUAAAUAUCUAUAAUGAAAGAAGUCCACAAAAUUUACUAAAUAUCUAUAAAGAAAAUAGUCCACAAAAUUUACCAAAUAUCUUCAAAGAAAAAAGUCCUAAAGAUACUUAAUAUCUAUAAAGAAUAAAGUCUACAAAAUUUACUAAAUAUCUUUAAAGAAAAAAGUCUACAAAAUUUACUAAAUAUCUUUUAAAAAAAAAAUAAAGCAAAAUAAUUUAAAAAAAUUUCUCUUGCAAUUAAAUAAGUUUAAAAUUUUUAAUUCAGCAAAAGAUUUGGGCUUACAACAACUUGAUGUGAAUGAUAUUGCAUUAUUAUAGUGUCUGAGUACAACAUUAUUACAUAACUUGCUGGGUUCAAAUUUCAUUUUUUUACAAAAAUAUAAAGUAUAUCCAAAGUUAACACUGGCAAGUCGAGUAUAACAAUGUAUCUAACACUGCACAAUCUGCAUAAACCUGCAUACCUGCAUAGGAUAAUUAGCAUUGCAUAUAUAAAUUAACAUGUAAAGCUUAUGCUGGCUUGCUGAUGUUUUCUUUCAUUGGUCUAUUUAAUUAACCCCUAGCCAAAUAUAGCAACAUCUAUUUAAAAUUGACCUGGGACUUGGAUUUUGGGCAGGUAGGGAGGAAUAAGGGAAAUACCUUGGCCUGGGAUUUUAGGGCUUAAAGAAAGGGGAGGGGAAACCUUGGGACUCUGGUGAAGUGGGGAUAUAAAAGGAGAGGGGAAUCCCAGGGCCUGGUGUAUUUGGGGAGAUAAAAGAGGGAGAAGGUUACAUCCACAGUCUGGUGAACUGGGGGAGAUAAAAGAGGGAAUGGGGAAAUAGUUGCUGUUCAUUGAAUGAAGUAAGUUAUGUGUUAAUGUUGUAUUCACAUUGUUGUGAUGAUUGUAUUGUUGCUUUGAAGUUUGUGGAGCACAAAUACCCCAGUA
Molecule: long non-coding RNA, 1415 nt
Filed under: Mytilus galloprovincialis (Mediterranean mussel)
Lineage: Eukaryota; Metazoa; Mollusca; Bivalvia; Mytilida; Mytilidae
Source: RNAcentral